Molecule: long non-coding RNA, 4162 nt
Organism: Hydractinia symbiolongicarpus
Lineage: Eukaryota; Metazoa; Cnidaria; Hydrozoa; Anthoathecata; Hydractiniidae
Exons: 3
Source: RefSeq, a predicted model, not a curated record
GUCACAACUAAGUAACAUUGAGAAAUUUAAUUAUUUGAGGUGCUAUUUAGAAGGAGACGCUUUAAAUUGUAUAUCUGGAUUAUCUCUUUCUAACGAAAAUUACGAGGAAGCAUUGAAGCUAUUGUCCAACAUAUUUGGAAAUCCACAAGUAAUUAUAAACUCACACAUGCACGGAUUUUUGAAGAUGAAUUCAUUAAGAUGAGUUUAUAACGAUCGCGACCUAACAGCUCUUCGAUGACUCUACGAUGAUAUAGAAUCUCAUGUACGAAGUUUAAACAGCUUGGGUAUUGAAGGAAGGGACUAUGGCUCUUUACUCAAUCCGAUCAUUAUGGAACAACUGCCGCACGAAUUUAAAUUGACUGUUUCCAGGAAUCUGAAACAAGAGGUCUAGGAUAUUAACAAACUCCUCGAACUAAUAAAUGACGAGUUAAAAGCUAGAGAAAAUUGCAUCGUAUCGUCGUACCUACCGUUAACUCACACAGAACAGAAAAGGAUCAUAGUAACGACAUGGGUAAGAAACGUUUUGAUUUUUCGCAUUCAUAUGAGCCCUCUUCUGGCGCGUCUUUGUUAUCUGAAUCCAGCCCAAGCAGAAAUGCGUAUUUUGUGAAGGUUGUCAUUGGCCUGACAAGUGCCCAGUUAUUACGGAUGUGGCGUCUAGAAAGGAGUGUCUAAAAAAAUCAAAUCGUUGUUUUUUGUGUUCCAGAGAAAAUCACAAACAAAAUCAAUGCCAAAAGAAAAAACCGUGUUUUUAUUGUAGAAGUAUACACAAUUCCGCACUUUGUUUUCAAAAAAACAAGAAAAAGGGUGAUUCCCCGGGCACAGAAAAAGAACCGUCGCAGGUUACGCAUCAAAACCAUGUGCAAAACAAUUCAAACAACGUGUUUCUGCAAACUGCGGAUGUCAUGCUCAAAAAUCCAACCACCGACCAAAGCGUACAAGUUCAGGUUUUGUUCGAUGGGGGUUCUCAGAGGACACACAUCUCUGAUCGCGCUCGAAGAACGUUGAAUUUAAACACCGAGAUCACGGAAGAAAUUAUUAUCUCUACUUUCAGUAAUCGCAAUGUUAUUUUCACUUAGCGCACUUUCGGUACCUAUAAUUUGUUUACCAAUUAAAUCGCAACCCGUAAAUUCGUCAAAACAAAAAUUUACAGAUUUGAAAGAGACUGAUUUCGCUUCUUCGGGAGUUGGGAACGAAAUUGACUUACUGAUCGGAUCGCAUAUGUAUUGGGAUAUAGUUACCGGGAAAAUUAACAGGAGUGUGGGAAGUAGUUUGGUCGCCAUAGAAACAAAAUUCGGUUGGGUUUUGAGCGGAGUGCAUGAGUCUGUGAGAGGGUGUGAAAAGAACGUAACAUCGACAAGUAUUGGGAUUUCAAAAAAUGAAAAAACUUGUUAUGAUCUCGUUUUUGAUAAGAUAAAAAAGAAUGAAGAUAAUCGUUAUGAGUUAGCCUUGCCGUUUAAAGAAAAUCAUUCCUUACUGCCAGACAAUUUUGAACUCAGCCGAAAGCGCUUAUUAAAACUACACAAUCGCUUGAAAAACAACCCGUCGCUUCUAGUUGAUUACGAUAAUAUUUUUAAGGAACAAAUGAAAUUGGGUAUUAUUGAACCAGUACGCGAUGUUGGGACACCGGGAGAAAUACAUUACUUGCCACACCGCGCUGUUUUACGUGACGAUAAAAACACGACAAAAAUGAGAAUAGUUUUUGACGAAUUAACCACGAGUCGCCCAGUCUAAACGACAUACUGUACAAGGGUCCUCAGCUAACGCCGCAACUGUAUGAUAUUCUCUUGCGAUUCAGAUCAUAUCCUAUUGUUUUGAUAGCCGACAUAGAAAAAGCAUUUCUACAAAUUGCGAUCAAAGAAACAGAUCGUAACUUUUUGAGGUUUUUGUGGUUUGACGAUAUCCUUGCGGAACAACCCACCAUCGUUAGAAAUCGAUUCGCCCGUUUAGUGUUUGGAUUGACGAGUUCACCAUUUUGUUUGAACGGUACUAUUCGAAAUCACAUAAGUCAGUAUGAAUUUGACCCACUGUUUGUUCAAAAGGUUGUGAGGUCGUUUUUUGUCGACGAUUUUAUUGGCGGUCACGUGAAUGAGGAAGAAGUUGUAAAGUUGUUUAAACAGCUUAAACUCCGAUUUAUAGAAGGGAAUUUUUACCUUCGUAAAUAGCAUACAAAUAAUGAAAAUGUUCGGAACUAUAUAAAUCAUAUCACCAACUCAACCGCGCCUCCCCAAACUAAUGGUAAAAUUCUUGGACUUGUUUGGAAUGAACAGACCGAUAAAUUAUGUUUUGACUUUUCAGAAUUAUUGAAGUCGGCAAAAGCGUUAAAACCUACUAAGAGAAAUAUAUUAAAAGAUUUUGUCUUCGUUCUACGAUCCUGUGGGACUCAUUCAACCAAUAUUGAUUAGCAUGAAAAUUUUGAUGCAGAAAAUAUGUGAGAGGAAGCUAGGUUGGGAUGAUGAUGUUGACGCUGAAUUGAAGGUGAGUUGGGAGAGCAUCUUGAAGGAGAUGGAGAGUGUGGGAGUUGUUGAGGUUGGUCGUAGGAUACUCCUUUUUAUUAAUAAAAUGACGUCAUUCAAAAUUUUCAUGGAAACGAGGCAUCCUAUGCCAAAAAUUUUGAUUGGGAAGGCGGCGAGAAAAACAUUUUGAAUUCAAACGACAUAAAUUUGUUUUAAUGGAGAUAAUAUCAUCCCCAUUUAAUUUCUCUCGUGUCUCCACUAUAAAAUGGCGUAAUCAUUAUAUCUCCAUGAUCUAGCAACUCAGUUAAUGGCAAAACAUUGCGAAAGCAGUAAGCUCCAAUUCUUUUUCGCGAAGGAAGGAAGAAGUAUUGUUGUUUAGCUCUGAUUUUAUUUUUGCUAGCAACUAACUUUAAAUGCAGAUAUGGAUUUAUACAUAGAAGUUCCUGAUUUCUACAACUUUUUUGAAGAUUCUCUUGUUGAUCCUACGUCUAUCAAACUACAAGAAGAUGACAUUGAUGAUGAUACUGUUCACAUCGAUGUUAAAAAUCUAGCUUGUUAUAAAGCUGAACAUUUGAAGAAGUGGUUAAGUGAUUCCCUGGAAAGGAAUAGACACUUUGAAGGAGACACAAGUUAGGGUGCUGCAGUACUACAAAAAUGGCACACAAAAUAACAUUGUAGAUCCAACUAGUGAUAAAAAAUGGCUGAGAAAAAAAGCUGAGAAACUUGGAAUUUUAUCACCGGGGAAGACGAAUAAUUGGAAUAUCAUUAUCCAAUGCCCAGAGGUGUUAAGGAACGAAAUAGGUCAUCCGAAAAACACAGCUGGAUGGAAAAAAUACAUCACGAAUUUGCCAAAAAUAACAAUAUACGAAAUAUCGAACAGUACCAUAAAAAGAUCAAUGACCUGGUAUUAGAAAAGUCUCUCAAAAUUAAAAAACCAUUUACUCGGGGUGCACAAUUCCGGGAAGAAAAUUUUAUUGAUGUUGGUUCAAUACAUGCAAAGGAAAAUGAUAAUAUAUUUAGUUUGAAAGGUGUGUGUGGUGCAAGCUUGAAGAAAGCAGAUAGAUGGAUUUUUGUUGCCAUUGAUAAAUUAUCAAAUGAAAUCUUGUAUUGUUUUUGCCAAUGUCCAGCUGGAAAGGUGGGAACUUGUUCUCACGCUUACGCUUUGAUGAAGUUGUUGGCUAAAUGGGUCCUGGAUAACUUAAAAAUUAUUUCAGAACCGAAAAGCAUGCAGCACAUCAAAGGCCUGUGAGUGGUCAGUUCCUCAGAGUAGAAAUCAUGUUAAUAAAGUCCCAAUAUCGGAUAUAACCAUCACUACCCCAGUUUCAAAACGAAGAAAUACAAAUGACGAUACAGAAUACAAAAAGCGCAGUGGAAUUAAAACGACAUUGUAUGAUGCUAGAGCCGACCAUACAAAACAUGAGCCAGCUUAUAAUUUGGAAGUUUUUUUGAAUAGCGACACUAAUAAUCAUGCUAAGAAAAUCAUAAAUCCUAAUCCGCUUCUGUUUACAGAUACAGUGUAUGGAGUAAUGCCGAUUGGUUCUACUUUAUCGCAUCAAUGUUCCCCAAUACCAGCUGAUUUUGCUGUAUAUUCUAGCAUUUCUACAGUCACAGGAAACCUAACUGAAUAUAACACUUAUCCAAGUUUUCCUUUUAAUUCAAUUAAAUACAUGCUUGAUGAAUACUUAAGAAGUGAAAUAUGUGAGGAAAAA